CCUACGGGAGGCAGCAGUGGGGAAUUUUCCGCAAUGGGCGCAAGCCUGACGGAGCAACGCCGCGUGCGGGAGGACGGUUUGUGGACUGCAAACCGCUUUUAAUAGGGAAGAAGUUCUGACGGUACCUAUUGAAUAAGCAUCGGCUAACUCCGUGCCAGCAGCCGCGGUAAUACGGAGGAUGCAAGCGUUAUCCGGAUUUAUUGGGCGUAAAGGGUCCGCAGGUGGUACAUCAAGUCAGCUGUUAAAGACUGGGGCUUAACUCCGGAGUAGCAGUUGAAACUGAUGAAUUAGAGUACGGUAGGGGUAGAGGGAAUUCCUAGUGUAGCGGUGAAAUGCGUAGAUAUUAGGAAGAACGCCAGUGGCGAAGGCGCUCUACUGGGCCUGUACUGACACUGAGGGACGAAAGCUAGGGGAGCGAAAGGGAUUAGAUACCCCUGUAGUCCUAGCUGUAAACGAUGGAUACUAGGUGUUGCUCGUAUCGACCCGAGCAGUAUCGUAGCCAACGCGUUAAGUAUCCCGCCUGGGGAGUACGCACGCAAGUGUGAAACUCAAAGGAAUUGACGG
RNAcentral lists this ribosomal RNA (564 nucleotides) under uncultured bacterium. RNAcentral's name for it is "bacterial SSU rRNA". It matches the Rfam family "Bacterial small subunit ribosomal RNA", at positions 338 to 916 of the family's 1533-position model. The record is from RNAcentral.